AGAGUUUGAUCCUGGCUCAGAUUGAACGCUGGCGGCAUGCCUUACACAUGCAAGUCGAACGGGCUUUGGGGCUUGCUCCAAAGUUAGUGGCGAACGGGUGAGUAAUAUAUCGGAACGUACCCUUGAGUGGGGGAUAACAUAGCGAAAGUUAUGCUAAUACCGCAUACGAUCUAAGGAUGAAAGUGGGGGACCGCAAGGCCUCACGCUCCUGGAGCGGCCGAUAUCCGAUUAGCUAGUUGGUGAGGUAAAGGCUCACCAAGGCUUCGAUCAGUAGCUGGUCUGAGAGGACGAUCAGCCACACUGGGACUGAGACACGGCCCAGACUCCUACGGGAGGC
RNAcentral lists this ribosomal RNA (337 nucleotides) under uncultured bacterium. RNAcentral's name for it is "bacterial SSU rRNA". It matches the Rfam family "Bacterial small subunit ribosomal RNA", at positions 8 to 349 of the family's 1533-position model. The record is from RNAcentral.